ACACGACUACAUUAGAUACCCCUGUAGUCCUAGCCGUAAACGAUACUCGCUAGGUGUCGGCCACGGUGCGACCGUUGUCGGUGCCGUAGGGAAGCCGUGAAGCGAGCCACCUGGGAAGUACGGCCGCAAGGCUGAAACUUAAAGGAAUUGGCGGGGGAGCACAACAACGGGUGGAGCUUGCGGUUUAAUCGGACUCAACGCCGGGAAUCUCACCGGAUAAGACAGCUGAAUGAUAGUCGGGAUGAAGACUCUACUUGACUAGCUG
Molecule: ribosomal RNA, 265 nt
Filed under: uncultured archaeon
Lineage: Archaea
Description: partial 16S ribosomal RNA
Rfam family: Archaeal small subunit ribosomal RNA
Source: RNAcentral